RNAcentral lists this ribosomal RNA (703 nucleotides) under Eucephalobus striatus. Its description in RNAcentral is "partial large subunit ribosomal RNA". It matches the Rfam family "Eukaryotic large subunit ribosomal RNA", at positions 344 to 910 of the family's 3401-position model. The record is from RNAcentral. Lineage: Eukaryota; Metazoa; Nematoda; Chromadorea; Rhabditida; Cephalobidae.
ACAAGUACCGUGAGGGAAAGUUGAAAAGUACUUUGAAGAGAGAGUUCAAGAGGACGUGAAACCGGUAGGAUGGAAACGGAUAGAGCCAACGAACAAGCCCGUAUUCAGCUAGUCAGCUGCGUGCGGCAUGCCUGUGUGCUUGGUUUGCGGCCGGUUGGUGCAUUCGCGGUUGAUGUGCGCCGAGGCUUGUGAUGGAGUGCCUGAACUGUCCGAAGAGGCCUGGCUUCGGCUUGGGACCCACCGUCCGGGGAGCAGUGUUUCUUUUGCUCGUAGAAAGGGGGCUAGGGUAACGCGCCACACGGUUGUCGGGCUAUUCGCUUGGCCGGUCGCAUGCGACUAGGUCUUGUUGGGUGGUUCGUACGGCUGUGGGGUGCCCGGGCCGAUCCUCGGUGUAAAAGUUGGUCAUCUCUCCGACCCGUCUUGAAACACGGACCAAGGAGUCUAGCGUGUGCGCAAGUCAUUGGGUGCAGAAACCCAUAGGCGCAAUGAAAGUGAAGGUCUCUUUCUGAGGCUGAUAUGCGAUCCGUUGCACUACGGUGCGCGCGGAGCAGCAUAGCCCCAUCUCGACUGCUUGCAGUGGGGUGGAGGUAGAGCGUAUUCGCUGGUACCCGAAAGAUGGUGAACUAUGCCUGAGCAGGAUGAAGCCAGAGGAAACUCUGGUGGAGGUCCGAAGCGCUUCUGACGUGCAAAUCGAUCGUCUGAC